GACGAACGCUGGCGGCGUGCUUAACACAUGCAAGUCGAACGGAAAGGCCCUGCUUUUGUGGGGUGCUCGAGUGGCGCACGGGUGUGUUACACGUGAGUAUCCUGCCCUUGACUUUGGGAUAACUUCAGGCAACUGGGGCUACUACCGGAUAGGAGCUCCUGCUGCAUGGUGGGGGUUGGACAGUUUCGGCGGAUGGGGAUGGACUCGCGGUUUACUAGCUUGUUGGUGGGGUAGUGGCUUACCAAGGCUUUGACGGGUAGCCGGCCUGAGAGGGUGACCGGCGACAUUGGGACUGAGAGACGGCCCAGACUCCUACGGGAGGCAGCAGGGGGGAAUAUGGCACAAUGGGCGGAAGCCUGAGGCAGCAACGCCGCGUGCGGGAUGACGGCCUUCGGGUUGUAAACCGCUUUCGCCUGUGACGAAGCGUGAGUGACGGUAAUGGGUAAAGAAGCACCGGCUAACUACGUG
RNAcentral lists this ribosomal RNA (468 nucleotides) under uncultured bacterium. Its description in RNAcentral is "partial 16S ribosomal RNA". It matches the Rfam family "Bacterial small subunit ribosomal RNA", at positions 28 to 507 of the family's 1533-position model. The record is from RNAcentral.